UACGGGGGGAGCAAGCGUUGUUCGGAUUUACUGGGCGUAAAGGGCGCGUAGGCGGCCACCGCAAGUCGACUGUGAAAUCUCCGGGCUUAACCCGGAAAGGUCAGCCGAUACUGCGGGGCUAGAGUGCAGAAGGGGCAACUGGAAUUCUCGGUGUAGCGGUGAAAUGCGUAGAUAUCGAGAGGAACACCUGCGGCGAAGGCGGGUUGCUGGGCUGACACGUGACGCUGGAGGCGCGAAAGCUAGGGGAGCGAACGGG
This 256-nucleotide ribosomal RNA is filed under the name uncultured bacterium. Its description in RNAcentral is "partial 16S ribosomal RNA". It matches the Rfam family "Bacterial small subunit ribosomal RNA", at positions 524 to 776 of the family's 1533-position model. The record is from RNAcentral.